AGUGAACGCUGGCGGUAGGCCUAACACAUGCAAGUCGAACGGCAGCACAGUAAGAGCUUGCUCUUACGGGUGGCGAGUGGCGGACGGGUGAGGAAUACAUCGGAAUCUACUUUUUCGUGGGGGAUAACGUAGGGAAACUUACGCUAAUACCGCAUACGACCUACGGGUGAAAGCAGGGGAUCUUCGGACCUUGCGCGAUUGAAUGAGCCGAUGUCGGAUUAGCCAGUUGGCGGUGUAAAGGCCCACCAAGGCGACGAUCCGUAGCUGGUCUGAGAGGAUGAUCAGCCACACUGGAACUGAGACACGGUCCAGACUCCUACGGGAGGCAGCAGUGGGGAAUAUUAGACAAUGGGCGCAAGCCUGAUCCAGCCAUACCGCGUGGGUGAAGAAGGCCUUCGGGUUGUAAAGCCCUUUUGUUGGGAAAGAAAAGCAGCAGGUUAAUACCCCGCUGUUCUGACGGUACCCAAAGAAUAAGCACCGGCUAACUUCGUG
Molecule: ribosomal RNA, 492 nt
Filed under: uncultured bacterium
Lineage: Bacteria
Description: partial 16S ribosomal RNA
Rfam family: Bacterial small subunit ribosomal RNA
Source: RNAcentral